This 66-nucleotide transfer RNA is filed under the name Lepidotrigona flavibasis. RNAcentral's name for it is "tRNA-Arg". Lineage: Eukaryota; Metazoa; Arthropoda; Insecta; Hymenoptera; Apidae. The record is from RNAcentral.
AAAUACAAAGUAAUAAUUUACAUUUAAUUUCGACUUAAAAAUUUAAUCUUUAUUGAUUUGUAUUUG